This 492-nucleotide ribosomal RNA is filed under the name uncultured bacterium. RNAcentral describes it as "partial 16S ribosomal RNA". It matches the Rfam family "Bacterial small subunit ribosomal RNA", at positions 29 to 507 of the family's 1533-position model. The record is from RNAcentral.
AGUGAACGCUGGCGGUAGGCCUAACACAUGCAAGUCGAACGGCAGCACAGUAAGAGCUUGCUCUUACGGGUGGCGAGUGGCGGACGGGUGAGGAAUACAUCGGAAUCUACUUUUUCGUGGGGGAUAACGUAGGGAAACUUACGCUAAUACCGCAUACGACCUACGGGUGAAAGCAGGGGAUCUUCGGACCUUGCGCGAUUGAAUGAGCCGAUGUCGGAUUAGCUAGUUGGCGGGGUAAAGGCCCACCAAGGCGACGAUCCGUUGCUGGUCUGAGAGGAUGAUCAGCCACACGGGAACUGGGACACGGUCCAGACUCCUACGGGAGGCAGCAGUGGGGAAUGUUAGACAAUGGGCGCAAGCCUGAUCCAGCCAUACCGCGUGGGUGAAGAAGGCCUUCGGGUUGUAAAGCCCUUUUGUUGGGAAAGAAAAGCAGCAGGUUAAUACCCCGCUGUUCUGACGGUACCCAAAGAAUAAGCACCGGCUAACUUCGUG